CGCCGCCGCGCCGAGCCCCCCGCGGACUUUGGCUUCUCGGGCGCGCGCGCCCCGGCGCGGGGAGGUCGAAAGGUUCGCCCCCCUCCCCCCCCCGCAACCACCUCCCCCCCGGGGGACGCUCUGCGCACGCGCGGACCCCCGCGGACUCGCCGGAAACGCGGCGGGCAGCCGCGGCGGGUCCUCGGGUGCCGGGUCCGUGGCCGCCCCCGCUUCGGCCUUGUGAGCUCCGCGUGCACACAUCCUGGCUUUCACAAGACCUGGAAGAGCCGGCCAGGCCUGCGCCGCGGACUCGGGUGAACUCCAGGGUCCUCAACACCCACAGGAAGCCAGGUGCAAGAGAAGCUCUGCCUACCUUUCCAAACUUCCCACUACCGCAGGAAAUAAGUGGAAACUCCAGUCACUUCCUCCCUGGAACGUACUCUUCUUUCUGCCUUAGACACCAGAUCCUUUCUACCCUAAUACCCCUAUUUCCAACUCAGUUCAUCCUGCAAGACGAAGCCCUCUUUUCCAGAUUCUGGUAGGAUCCUUUGAGUCAUGUCCAACUUCAACGUCUGUUCAAGUUUUGACAGAAAGUCAUGAAGCCUUCCACCCGUGGAGGCAAUGAUGUAUGGAGCCUGUUCUCCAAACAGGUGAAAAGGAAGAAGAAAAUGUUUAAUAUCUCAAGAAGUUAUCUGGUGAGUCACGCAUUGAGAACACACCUAAAAGUAAAUAAAACAGCCCUGCCCGCCUGUAAUUAACAAUGGGAACAAGACGGCAAUCAAAAAGGAAAUGUUAUAAAAGCUGUGCUGGGUGUAUAAUCAGAAUUAUGUAUGAAUGUGCAAGAGGAAGAACCUAACCCAGGCUAGGGACUUGCAAGGAAACAAAUUCAUUUGCCAGAUGUUUACUGUCAUCUUUGCACGUGCUCAGUUUCUCUCAUUUGUGAACUGUGCAGAGCAAAUUGAAGUUAGUCUUCAUGUUCUGUCCAGCAACCCAAUGCCCAGUCAUCCGUCUGUGUGGUCCAGCCAAACAUUCCUUAUAGACCACAAUAAUGCUCAGCUUGACUAGCUGUUCAGUUCAACAUCACCGUCCUCUUUUGAGGGCACAAAUUGCUAAGGUGAACCCACCUAUGACUGGAUUCUUCCCUGUGCUAUGUCAGGUCUCCUUCCUAGAAACAGACCUUGGCACAAUACCCUCCUCAGGCUGAAUCUUGCUCGACCAUCUUCAUGAGGCACAGGCCCAGUAUCUGACUCCCACAUUCUCCACCACUACUCACUAGACUAGAAAAUUGCGUAACUGAAGACAGUCUCACAUGGUCUAGGCUGGCCUUUAACUCACUGGGUAGCUGGGGAUGACCUUGAAACUCUGACCCUCCUGCUUCUAAGUACUGGAAUUACAGGUUUGCACCACCAUGCUCAAUUUAUAUAGUGCUGAGGAUCAGAUCGGGCUUUCUGGAUGUUAGGAAAGCACUGAGCUACAUCCCCAGCCUAGAAAAAAAAUAAAUUAUGAUGCAAGGUAGUUUUAAAGUAAAAUUUAUACAAAGUCGGAUGGACUCUUUAUUAUUUUCACUUUUAUAAUAUAAAACCAUAUUUUCACCAAUAUAAUUGCAUGUUAUAGUAAUAUGUUUGAUAUAAGAAACAUAUAAAUUGUCUUACAUGAUGAAAUAUGUAUAUACAUUAACGCAUACUGAACUAUCUGCUCUAUCUGGGUUAUAAAACAUGUUAAAGACUUGUUGGUGGCUAUUGUCUUGAGAGAGAAAAGACAGAACUCCACAGUAGAUGAAGAAAUCAGAGGACAUCUGAGAAUGAGUGUGGUAAUAGAGUUGGUAGCAGCCGAGGGUCUUGUUACAUUUUGAUUCAGGAAGAAAGCCUUUUAUCUCGAUUUGCCCUAGGCUUAAGUGUAGUGGGUAGCCAUUCCAGCUUUGAUCUGGAAGUUCCAACCCCCAUUGAGACUUCGGUAACUGUCAUGCCUACAAGGUGGGGCCAAGAGAGGGCCCUGAAGACCCGAGAUCCGGAUGCACCAUCUCUCUUGGUUCCUGGACCCUGGACGCUGGAGGUAGACCGAGCAGAGUUCUCAAGAGAACACCGCCAGACUGCGCUGCGUCUUUCCCAGAACCCGCAACCUACCUAUCCCUUCAUUUGUAAGUUACACCACUAAAUAAACCUCCCUUUUAACUA
Molecule: long non-coding RNA, 2153 nt
Organism: Peromyscus californicus insignis
Lineage: Eukaryota; Metazoa; Chordata; Mammalia; Rodentia; Cricetidae
Exons: 2
Source: RefSeq, a predicted model, not a curated record